GAUUUGAUCACGUUUACCAAGAAACGAUCCUAACGGUCCUUGCUUUCCUAUAUAAACCCACUUAAUUCUUGCUCUCAUUUCACCCAUGAUCUGAAUUGUUCUAAGUUGGGGCCUUAGUGCUUCAUACCUGAACAUCCAAGGUCAUUUCCAUCCUUGCUUGGACCCUUUCCAUGGUUCGCAACGAACAUGGCUACGUGACCGUAAUUAGAUUUAGGAGCCCAGUAAAAGCUAUCUGUACUUGCUUGGUGGUAUACGGCUGGGAUUAA
Molecule: long non-coding RNA, 266 nt
Filed under: Helianthus annuus (common sunflower)
Lineage: Eukaryota; Viridiplantae; Streptophyta; Magnoliopsida; Asterales; Asteraceae
Description: hypothetical non coding rna
Source: RNAcentral